This 76-nucleotide transfer RNA is filed under the name Verrucomicrobiota bacterium. RNAcentral describes it as "Verrucomicrobia bacterium tRNA-Arg". It matches the Rfam family "tRNA". Rfam says of the family: Transfer RNA (tRNA) molecules are approximately 80 nucleotides in length. Their secondary structure includes four short double-helical elements and three loops (D, anti-codon, and T loops). Further hydrogen bonds mediate the characteristic L-shaped molecular structure. tRNAs have two regions of fundamental functional importance: the anti-codon, which is responsible for specific mRNA codon recognition, and the 3' end, to which the tRNAs corresponding amino acid is attached (by aminoacyl-tRNA synthetases). tRNAs cope with the degeneracy of the genetic code in two manners: having more than one tRNA (with a specific anti-codon) for a particular amino acid; and 'wobble' base-pairing, i.e. permitting non-standard base-pairing at the 3rd anti-codon position. The record is from RNAcentral. Lineage: Bacteria; Pseudomonadati; Verrucomicrobiota.
GCUGCCGUGGCCGAACACAUGAGGCAUCCGCCUUCUAAGCGGAACGAUGCAGGUGGGAAUCCUGCCGGCAGUGCCA